RNAcentral lists this transfer RNA (64 nucleotides) under Lasioglossum pauxillum. RNAcentral describes it as "tRNA-Phe". The record is from RNAcentral. Lineage: Eukaryota; Metazoa; Arthropoda; Insecta; Hymenoptera; Halictidae.
AUUUAAAUAGCUUAAAAAAAGUAUAAUAUUGAAAAUAUUAAGAUAAUAAAAAAAUUUUUAAAUA